Daphnia pulicaria is the source of this 537-nucleotide long non-coding RNA. RefSeq lists it as uncharacterized. The transcript has 3 exons. NCBI's taxonomy places the organism in Eukaryota, Metazoa, Arthropoda, Branchiopoda, Diplostraca, Daphniidae. The record is from RefSeq and is a predicted model, not a curated record.
UUAUAUCGAUAUCUUAUUAAGCGUGGUUAAUUAGAAUAUUUGUUUCGUCUGCUAACACUUUGUUUCACAGUUUCGAAAAAGGAAAGUGAGAUCACUGAGAUGAAGUUUCAGAUAUUUUUAUUAUAGAAAACUGAACAGAUCACUGGUUUGGAUUGGAAACUUGUACGUGGCUGCAAGAUAAAUAGCAGAACAAAACAAAAUGUGGCUGUCGUGUGAACAUCGAGACUCCCCAUCAUGCUCUCCUCUCCAUGCUGUUUCUCAGAUUUCAGGCCUGAGCCAGUCAUCGUAACCACAAGAAGUUUUGAUACUGACCUAUCACACCUAUCAUCACCAACAAUCUCAGCAUAAUCAAUUGGAUCUAAACAGCUCUUAGUGUAAUUGGAAAACUAUGUCCUCGUGUACACCCAUGUGAGUGUGGGGGUAUUCACGAGGACCUCUUUUCCUAUUCUGCCUGGCGUCAACUUUCCUGAGGAUGGAGUUGUUGGAGCACUUGUGGAUGCCUGGCUGUGGAUUUCAUGGGCUUAAAGGUAGGCCAAA